AGUGAACGCUGGCGGUAGGCCUAACACAUGCAAGUCGAACGGCAGCACAGUAAGAGCUUGCUCUUACGGGUGGCGAGUGGCGGACGGGUGAGGAAUACAUCGGAAUCUACUUUUUCGUGGGGGAUAACGUAGGGAAACUUACGCUAAUACCGCAUACGACCUACGGGUGAAAGCAGGGGAUCUUCGGACCUUGCGCGAUUGAAUGAGCCGAUGUCGGAUUAGCUAGUUGGCGGGGUAAAGGCCCACCAAGGCGACGAUCCGUAGCUGGUCUGAGAGGAUGAUCAGCCACACUGGAACUGAGACACGGUCCAGACUCCUACGGGAGGCAGCAGUGGGGAAUAUUGGACAAUGGGCGCAAGCCUGAUCCAGCCAUACCGCGUGGGUGAAGAAGGCCUUCGGGUUGUAAAGCCCUUUUGUUGGGAAAGAAAAGCAGCAGGUUAAUACCCCGCUGUUCUGACGGUACCCAAAGAAUAACACCGGCUAACUUCGUG
Molecule: ribosomal RNA, 491 nt
Filed under: uncultured bacterium
Lineage: Bacteria
Description: partial 16S ribosomal RNA
Rfam family: Bacterial small subunit ribosomal RNA
Source: RNAcentral